GAUACAUAAAACGACAAAAGCCCUUCCUUCUCUUUCGUCCUUGCGGUCCUUAAACCGCUCCAGUGUGAAUUGAUCUACUGCUGUAUCU
This 88-nucleotide small RNA is filed under the name Salibacterium halotolerans. RNAcentral's name for it is "BsrC". It matches the Rfam family "BsrC". From Rfam's summary of the family: The 301 nucleotide sequence from Kouji Nakamura has been trimmed to a highly conserved ~85 nucleotide long core to form this family. The record is from RNAcentral. Lineage: Bacteria; Bacillati; Bacillota; Bacilli; Caryophanales; Bacillaceae.